UCUCAGUUCGGAUUGUAGUCUGCAACUCGACUACAUGAAGCUGGAAUCGCUAGUAAUCGCGAAUCAGAAUGUCGCGGUGAAUACGUUCCCGGGUCUUGUACACACCGCCCGUCACACCAUGGGAGUUGGGAAUGCCCGGAGCCGGUGACCUAACCGAAAGGGAGGAGCCGUCGAAGGCAGGCUUGAUAACUGGGGUGAAGUCGUAACAAGGUAUC
Molecule: ribosomal RNA, 215 nt
Filed under: uncultured bacterium
Lineage: Bacteria
Description: partial 16S ribosomal RNA
Rfam family: Bacterial small subunit ribosomal RNA
Source: RNAcentral